UCCUCCCUCUGGCGGCGUGCUUAACACAUGCAAGUCGAACGGAAAGGCCCUGCUUUUGUGGGGUGCUCGAGUGGCGAACGGGUGAGUAACACGUGAGUAACCUGCCCUUGACUUUGGGAUAACUUCAGGAAACUGGGGCUAAUACCGGAUAGGAGCUCCUGCUGCAUGGUGGGGGUUGGAAAGUUUCGGCGGUUGGGGAUGGACUCGCGGCUUAUCAGCUUGUUGGUGGGGUAGUGGCUUACCAAGGCUUUGACGGGUAGCCGGCCUGAGAGGGUGACCGGCCACAUUGGGACUGAGAUACGGCCCAGACUCCUACGGGAGGCAGCAGUGGGGAAUAUUGCACAAUGGGCGGAAGCCUGAUGCAGCAACGCCGCGUGCGGGAUGACGGCCUUCGGGUUGUAAACCGCUUUCGCCUGUGACGAAGUGUGAGUGACGGUAAUGGGUAAAGAAGCACCGGCUAACUACGUG
RNAcentral lists this ribosomal RNA (468 nucleotides) under uncultured bacterium. RNAcentral's name for it is "partial 16S ribosomal RNA". It matches the Rfam family "Bacterial small subunit ribosomal RNA", at positions 36 to 507 of the family's 1533-position model. The record is from RNAcentral.